GAUGAACGCUGGCGGCGUGCCUAAUACAUGCAAGUCGAGCGAACCACUUCGGUGGUGAGCGGCGAACGGGUGGGUAACACGUAGGUGAUCUGCCCAUCAGACGGGGACAACGAUUGGAAACGAUCGCUAAUACCGGAUAGGACGAAAGUUUAAAGGUGCUUCUGGCACCGCUGAUGGAUGAGCCUGCGGCGCAUUAGCUAGUUGGUAGGGUAAAGGCCUACCAAGGCGACGAUGCGUAGCCGACCUGAGAGGGUGAACGGCCACACUGGGACUGAGACACGGCCCAGACUCCUACGGGAGGCAGCAGUAGGGAAUCUUCGGCAAUGGGCGAAAGCCUGACCGAGCAACGCCGCGUGAAUGAUGAAGGCCUCGGGUUGUAAAUUCUGUUAUAAGGGAAGAACGAC
This 404-nucleotide ribosomal RNA is filed under the name uncultured bacterium. RNAcentral's name for it is "bacterial SSU rRNA". It matches the Rfam family "Bacterial small subunit ribosomal RNA", at positions 28 to 453 of the family's 1533-position model. The record is from RNAcentral.